AGAAGCAUCAAUUUGCAAGAAAGAUGCGAACUUUACUAGAAAUGAACCAGUUUCUGUGUUGGAUACAAGAAGUCCAAGUCCUUCAGCUUCAUCUUCGUCGUGCUCUUAUGGUGCUCAACAUGGUGGAAAUACUGCAGUUCCCGGUGUCGGAAGUGGGAAAACUGAUGGCAGGAAGGAGGAGUUAGUGACGGAGCUGGAGCCAUUCACGGUAGGGUUGGAGCCUGAAAAAUCUGUUCUUGGAUUUGGAGAUUUGGAUAAUUUGUUGCCUGAAUUUGCCGGCUCCGACCAAAGCUUUCUCAGGUGGAUUUCCGGUGAUGUGGAGGACCCGUCAGUCAGCUUGAAGCAAUUACUCAAUGGGGAUUUGGGUUGUGGAGUUUCUCUUCAAAGCUCUGGAUUUGAGGUUUCAGCUACAGGUUCUUUAGCUCAUUCAGAUAAUGUCUCUUUUUCUGGUUCAAAUAUCUGUCUGAAUGCCAACAUUGAAAAACUUAGUUCUGUCAUAGAUUCAAUAAAUAGUCGAAACAAUAACUUCGAAAACCCGAAUGUCAACCCUUCUCUAGAACAGAAGCCUCAACCUUUUGGUCCACAAGUAAUGGCAAACCAAACUCAAUUCCAGAAUGCGGCUUGUGUUAACAUUUUUGGGUCAUCAUCAUAUGACAUCAAUCAAGAACAGCCUCCGCCCAAACGCCACAAUUCGGGUACCCUUGGAGGAGCUCUAUUGCCUAAAGUUCCUUUUUUUGAUGCCAAUUGUGACUUCAUG
RNAcentral lists this unclassified non-coding RNA (757 nucleotides) under Hevea brasiliensis (rubber tree). The record is from RNAcentral. Lineage: Eukaryota; Viridiplantae; Streptophyta; Magnoliopsida; Malpighiales; Euphorbiaceae.